Molecule: ribosomal RNA, 305 nt
Filed under: uncultured bacterium
Lineage: Bacteria
Description: bacterial SSU rRNA
Rfam family: Bacterial small subunit ribosomal RNA
Source: RNAcentral
GGCUGCCUACGGGACGCAGCAGUGAGGAAUAUUGGUCAAUGGGCGAGAGCCUGAACCAGCCAAGUCGCGUGAGGGAGUACUGCCCUAUGGGUUGUAAACCUCUUUUGUCGGAGAACAAAACCCGGGACGUGUCCCGGACUGCGUGUAUCCGAAGAAAAAGCAUCGGCUAACUCCGUGCCAGCAGCCGCGGUAAUACGGAGGAUGCGAGCGUUAUCCGGAUUUAUUGGGUUUAAAGGGUGCGUAGGCGGUCCGUUAAGUCAGCGGUAAAAUUGCGGGGCUCAACCCCGUCGAGCCGUUGAAACUGG